RNAcentral lists this ribosomal RNA (479 nucleotides) under uncultured bacterium. Its description in RNAcentral is "bacterial SSU rRNA". It matches the Rfam family "Bacterial small subunit ribosomal RNA", at positions 508 to 989 of the family's 1533-position model. The record is from RNAcentral.
CCAGCAGCCGCGGUAAUACGGAGGAUGCGAGCGUUAUCCGGAUUUAUUGGGUUUAAAGGGUGCGUAGGCGGCCUGUUAAGUCAGCGGUGAAAUSUAGGAGCUUAACUCCUAAAUUGCCAUUGAUACUGGCGGGCUUGAGUGUAGAUGAGGUAGGCGGAAUGCGUGGUGUAGCGGUGGAAUGCAUAGAUAUCACGCAGAACUCCGAUUGCGAAGGCAGCUUACUAAGGUACAACUGACACUGAAGCACGAAAGCGUGGGUAUCAAACAGGAUUAGAUACCCUGGUAGUCCACGCAGUAAACGAUGAUAACUGGGCGUAUGCGAUAUACAGUAUGCUCCUAAGCGAAAGCGUUAAGUUAUCCACCUGGGGAGUACGUUCGCAAGAAUGAAACUCAAAGGAAUUGACGGGGGCCCGCACAAGCGGAGGAACAUGUGGUUUAAUUCGAUGAUACGCGAGGAACCUUACCCGGGCUUGAAAUGC